RNAcentral lists this transfer RNA (69 nucleotides) under Ptychadena mascareniensis (Masarene ridged frog). Its description in RNAcentral is "tRNA-Glu". It matches the Rfam family "tRNA". Rfam says of the family: Transfer RNA (tRNA) molecules are approximately 80 nucleotides in length. The record is from RNAcentral. Lineage: Eukaryota; Metazoa; Chordata; Amphibia; Anura; Ptychadenidae.
GUUUUUGUAGUUGAAUUACAACAAUAGUUUUUCAGGCUAUGAGUCUAGGUUAGAAUCCUGGCAAGAAUA